GAGCUUGCUUCAAUAGCACAUAUACUAAAAUUGGAAUGAUAUAGAGAUUAGCGAUUAGCAUGGCCCCUGCAUAAGACCACACGCAACUUUGUAAAGCAUUCCAUAUUUUU
Marmota monax (woodchuck) is the source of this 110-nucleotide small nuclear RNA. NCBI's taxonomy places the organism in Eukaryota, Metazoa, Chordata, Mammalia, Rodentia, Sciuridae. The record is from RefSeq and is a predicted model, not a curated record.